CUCGAGAGUGUAAAACGUGAUCAAUGAUUACUUGCGUCCAACGGCGGAGCUUCGUGGGGGCGAACCUGGGCGGUCGCCCCCCAGCGAAAAUGAAAAUUUUCUCAUGCCCCUAUGUAUCAGGCCCACUCAUAUACUAGGACUUAGUCAACGAUGCCUGGAGCCCUGGAUACGCACGAAUCCAGCCACCAGACCAGGCGGUGACCUACUCCACUACUCCAUCUCCAGAAUUCUUUUCCCCAACUAGACCGCGGACGGCUGGGGCAUGGGGGUGGGGCACCGGCGUCUGGGAGAUUGGCUGCUGGCGCCGUGGCUUGCCGGCGUGGGGGACUGGGGGCGACCGCUGGCGGGUGGCCGGACCUGGGAUUGGUCGGCUCCUUCCUCCUCCGCUCAGGUUCAUCCACAGAUCCACUUAUGCCUCGGCUAUGGCUGUCCGCUACAGCAUCAGGCUCCGUCAACGUCGCGCAGUGCCUCGGUGAGUCGUGUGAGCAGACUGUCCUCCCUGUAUCUAUCUCAAUCUCUCCCCUAUGGAAAAUUUGGAAAGUUGAAAUAUUGUGACCUCCGUAGCUUUGUAGUGGAGGAAAAAUUCUAAUUAGAUGUGGUCUUUUCAUCUGGUCAUUGUUGGAGAUGCAGCUCCCUGUAUAAUUUUCUGCAUCUCCCAGAUUAUGUAGCUUUGUUACCUUAGUGGAGGAACCUUUGGUGAGAAAGAAAAAUUAGUGGUCAUCUCGUCAUUGAUUUUGUAAAUUAGAUUUUGUCAAUUGGAUUUUGUACUGGAAUAGAAAAUGUCCUUUAAAGAUUAAGAGGGACCGAGGGAGGCAGUGAUGCUUAAGGGAAAACAAUUGAUGCAUUUUUCAAAAGAAAGCGAGGUGAUUCAACUGAAUGUGAAGCUGAUGAACCAACAACAAUGAAAGUAAUUCCUGUUCAGCCUCCUCUGUUGUUGCUUGAAUUUGAGCAACACGGACAACAUCCUUCGAUGCCUCAACAACAAGGCCAUGAAACUCAAACAAAUGAAGUCCAAUUCCGAGGGAUUGAAUUCUUGCAGCGAGACCCAGCACUACGUCCACAGAUUCGCCCCUCCAAAGAUUUCUUUCAAGCUCCGCCACUGCUUGCGUCCUCGGUUAUGCGCAAUUUUGAGCAACUUCACAUGGAACUAUCAUGAAGGUCACACCACCACCAUUUCUUAACUAAAACUUGAUGGACUGAAGAAUAGACCUCUUCUAAGAAGCAUCUAAUUGUAGUGAUUUCCUUUGGGUUUGAGAGUAGGUCGUCUAGGGAGGUUGUGUGAUGUAGUAUGUCCAAUAUUAGAGUAGAUCCACCUAUUAUAAAAUUAAGGAAAAUCUACAUUUGCUUUCUGGAAAAGAAAAACGGGCCUACACUUCCCCAAUACAUGAUUAGGUAUGUUAUACAUUUCGGUGAAACCUGCCAUACAUUCAAUGUGUAAACCCUUGGGGCUACAACGUGUCAUAUUGCGGGUUUUCUCAAAGAUGAGUUAGUGAUGCGAAGUAGGUUUAAGAUGUUUGUACUUAGCUUAUGCCUGCGAGUGGAUGGACACCAUAGAGAUAUUAUUGUUUUCUGAUGUAUUCUAAUGUAAGCUAGCCUUGAGCUAAGCAGGUAUGUAUUGUAUUGGAGACUGGAUCUGCCAUUUAAUACUUCUAACACGUGAUUAUCUUGGUAUUUCAUCAUGUACUAUGCAUGCUAGGUAUUGGUUCAGGGACUAGCACAAUAAGCGUAGAGAGGCCCGACCAUUUUACCCAUGGGAAUGGAUAUCCAUGGGUAACCGGCCUGCAUGGGUAGGGUAUGAGCACAUUUUCAUGUCCAAGGGCAGUGCCCGAACCCUACGCGACUAGUCGUGGGUAAAAUUUUCUAUCCAUGGGUCUCCAUAAGGCUAGGCACGGUCCUGCCAGGAGUUGCCCUUCCUCGCCCCGUGACGUGCCCUCAUCGGAGCUAUCAAUCCGGGAUUGGACGGACAACAUCCUGCUAGCUUUGUAGAGGAACGACACACAGGCGCAAUCACGUGGGUCUCACAACUUCGUGUCGUUGGUGUUACAAUCCCAAAAGAAAAAAGAAAAGAAAACUAUCAUAGGUUGUUCAUCCUUGAGCCACACAAAGACUCUACCGGUUACCAUUAAUUAAGGUAUGAAAAUUCUGUAUAAUUUCUCUGUUUUUUGUGGACAUGUUGAUGGCACUUUCGUCUGUACCAGUGUGUCAUCUAGCUGAUCAUAGUUUUCUUUCUUCUUGGGUGAGUGAUGGUUAAUAUAAUUGUGUUUGAAAAUUUC
Long non-coding RNA from Triticum dicoccoides, 2273 nucleotides. RefSeq lists it as uncharacterized. The transcript is spliced from 2 exons. Lineage: Eukaryota; Viridiplantae; Streptophyta; Magnoliopsida; Poales; Poaceae. The record is from RefSeq and is a predicted model, not a curated record.